Molecule: ribosomal RNA, 253 nt
Filed under: uncultured bacterium
Lineage: Bacteria
Description: partial 16S ribosomal RNA
Rfam family: Bacterial small subunit ribosomal RNA
Source: RNAcentral
UACGAAGGGGGCUAGCGUUGCUCGGAAUCACUGGGCGUAAAGGGUGCGUAGGCGGGUCUUUAAGUCGGGGGUGAAAUCCUGGAGCUCGACUCCAGAACUGCCUUUGAUACUGAGGAUCUUGAGUUCGGGAGAGGUGAGUGGAACUGCGAGUGUAGAGGUGAAAUUCGUAGAUAUUCGCAAGAACACCAGUGGCGAAGGCGGCUCACUGGCCCGAUACUGACGCUGAGGCACGAAAGCGUGGGGAGCAAACAGG